UUUAUGGAGAGUUUGAUCCUGGCUCAGGAUGAACGCUAGCGGCGUGCCUAAUACAUGCAAGUCGAGCGAACGGACGAGAAGCUUGCUUCUCUGAUGUUAGCGGCGGACGGGUGAGUAACACGUGGAUAACCUACCUAUAAGACUGGGAUAACUUCGGGAAACCGGAGCUAAUACCGGAUAAUAUUUUGAACCGCAUGGUUCAAAAGUGAAAGACGGUCUUGCUGUCACUUAUAGAUGGAUCCGCGCUGCAUUAGCUAGUUGGUAAGGUAACGGCUUACCAAGGCAACGAUGCAUAGCCGACCUGAGAGGGUGAUCGGCCACACUGGAACUGAGACACGGUCCAGACUCCUACGGGAGGCAGCAGUAGGGAAUCUUCCGCAAUGGGCGAAAGCCUGACGGAGCAACGCCGCGUGAGUGAUGAAGGUCUUCGGAU
This 433-nucleotide ribosomal RNA is filed under the name Staphylococcus aureus. Its description in RNAcentral is "bacterial SSU rRNA". It matches the Rfam family "Bacterial small subunit ribosomal RNA", at positions 1 to 423 of the family's 1533-position model. The record is from RNAcentral. Lineage: Bacteria; Bacillati; Bacillota; Bacilli; Caryophanales; Staphylococcaceae.